Bombus huntii is the source of this 3643-nucleotide RNA transcript. RefSeq lists it as uncharacterized. The transcript is spliced from 7 exons. The record is from RefSeq and is a predicted model, not a curated record. NCBI's taxonomy places the organism in Eukaryota, Metazoa, Arthropoda, Insecta, Hymenoptera, Apidae.
AUGACUGAAGAAUUAUUAUCUAAAGAAAAAGAAUUUCAUCAGUUGAAUAAAGAACUUGAGCAGAAAGCAAGCAAUUUGAUAGCAAAAAUAGAUUCUGUUGUUAACACUUACAAUAACGGAUGCUCGAAUCUUAAUUCGAGGAAACAUUGCGUAAAUGCGACGAGAGAAAGAACAGCCUGUUUAAAUGGUAUAACAAUACAAAAUAAAGAUAAUUUUCAGAUUUUGGUUAAACGAAAUUCAUCUUUACCUCAUAUUUUCGAUCAAUCCGUUGCUUUGAAGCCAAAAAUAGAAUCACAGAAAGAUAACGAGGAUGAAGUUUCUAAGCAAAAGAACCUGGCAAAUAAAACUGUUCUCAAUUUCUUAAAAGCUAAGGUAGAUAUAUUACAGGAUGAGCUACAAACAAUGCGAAUUGAAUAUAGAAAACAGUGUGAUAUUUGCAAAAAUUUGGAAUCUGAAAAUAACAAGAUUGAAAUUAAGUUAAAAGCUGAAAUAGAGUCAUUAAAAGAAACAAUUACAAAAUUAGAGAACACUAACAAGGAGUUGCACUGUCAAUCACAAGCAUUAAAUACAGAAAAUUCAAUCUUAAAAAAAGACUUAGAUAGACUUCAAAAGCAAGUAAAGAUAACAAAUCAACAGUCUAAUAGUUGCUUGAUGAGAUUAAAUAGAUCUUUGGAAAAUAAUGAUAAACUUAAGAAUGCAUUGAAAUAUUCUGAAGUAGAAGAAAAGGAAUUGAAGACCCAAAUUAGAAAGCUAGAAGAAGAUAGAAAAUUAACAGCUAAUCACUUGGGAAAGCAACUUUCGGAAUUAAUACAAGUGUUUAAAAAACAAAUGUUAAUUGUAGAUAACUUAAAGAAGCAAAAUGCAUGCUUACUGGCAGUUGGACAACUAAAAUUAAUUAAAGAAGAUUUCUCAAGAUUAUUGGAUCAGAAACCUGAAAAUAUAUGAUAUAUUGUAUAUAAAACAUUUAUUAAAUGACUACUGCAAUUCAUACAUUGCAAAAGAUGGAAUAACUUCAUUUCAUAGCCAUACAUUUUAUACAAUUUUAUAUUACAUGAUAUAAUCCUUAAUAUUUUUUAUGAAAAUCUGUGUUCUUUAAUACAUUACCUGUCAUACAUGAAAUUUGAAAGUUUUGUGAUCUACCUUAACAUCUCUUUUUUUGUUUUUAUUUAUCUUAUAUCUGGGACAUUUCUAGCAUUUUUAACAUAUACGUAAUAAAUAAGUUAUAUCUAAAAUAUCAAUAGAAUUUUGAAUACAAAAUGUCAAUGUCAUACAAAUGUCAAAUGAAGUAUGUCAAGUAUAAACAUUAGUCUAAUUAUAGAAAUCAUAUUUUUUUAUAUUCGUUUAAUAUUAAAAAGUAAUGUCAUUUAGAAUUACAAAGAGAUACAAAACUAAUUUCCAUCAUAACCGAGAUGAAUUUAUUUUAUUCAAAACAAUUUUCAAUAACUUACUCAAUUUAUUUACACUUAAGUCCUAUUUUGUGCAUAAAAAAUUUGAUUAAGAAUGAUAAAUUUCGGUUAGUACGUAUAAAAAUUCACAAAAUUAAUUGAAUUCAUCUCAAAGUUUAAUCUUCAAACGUCUCAGAGAACACUGACUAUUUUUUUAUCAAAUGAAUUUUACAGAUUUUUAUUUUAUAUCCUCGCUUAAACAAUAUAUGUACUAUCGUAUAUUUUCUACGCUUAUAAAAGCAGCUCGACAUAUUCUAAAUACUAUCACUUGAAAUUAGUUAAAUAAUAUCAAGUGUCACAAAAAAGUGAACGAAGAUGAUAUAUGUUUGUAUUUUCCGUUUAACCAUUUCUGCGCAAUCUAACUUGAAUAAUGUUGUUUUAGUGUUUUACUAUUUAAAUCUCUAAUAUGUUCUGUUUAAUAAAAUAUAUUAAAUUAAUUGUUUUCUUUCUCUCUUUCUCGUUCUCUCUCGCACUCGCACUUAAUACGAAGAUGCUAUUCUCAAAUGCUUAUAACUCUUUCCCCCAUUUUUGAUGCCCCUCUCCUUUUUAUAAUUACGAUAACGUUCCGUUUAAAAUUCUUAUUUUAUAACCCUUUUACACAUUGCGUUUUACAACUCAGCCUCACAUAUAUGUAUAUAUCGAAAUUUGCUAUCCUUAUUAAAAUUAAAAGCACUGAUACAUUAACAAUUUCCAUAUUUAAUUCACUGCUUGAGUUUAUAUUUAAAAUUAUACUGCACCGCAGAUUUUCGCAUUAUUUCAUAUUGCACUUUAAAUAUUCAAUUUAUUUUAGUCUCUAGAAAGUUUCAUGUUUAAUAAAAUAUUUAAAUAAUUGGUAUCAUAAAGUUGAUAAAUCUAUCGCCGAUCAGAGAAAAACAAAUCAUAAAUUAAAGUACAUUCCUUAUUUUUGAAAGUCUUUAUAUGAAAUAUCACUUUUCCAAUUAAUUUUUACUAUAAAUCAACUUCAAAAUAAUCAUAUGAAUCUUCAAAUUUUAUGUCAUAAUAAAAAUUUACGUAACCAUUACUCCUAAAAACAUAGAUUGACUUUUAUAUUAUUAGGGUAAACUUUUUUAUUCACUGGUAUAAAAUUUUUUCCGUUAUACACGUAAUUAUUAAUUAAACCUCUCGACUGUUGCAUUAAAAUGCAUUACUAUCUAUGUGUUUAAAUUCAUGUGUUUCAUAUUAUGUUAUAAUACAAAUAAUUAAUGAAAUUACGUUUCUUUCUUACUUUGUAAGCUCGUAAAAAUUAUACACGAACAAUGCACUUUAUAUUAUUCGAAGGAAAACAGAAAAGGAGAAAAAAUAAUAAUAAAAGGAAAUGGUGCAUGCCCAGCCUUUCAUCCUCGUUUGUUAAUAUGUGUCUUAUAAUAUAUGUUAAAUUUGUUUGAAACAUUAUUUUACUUACAGAGUGUUUUAUUCAUCUCACUCUUAUCACGCUUAAUACUAGAUUUUCUCGCUCUUUUUUCUCUUUUCUUCUAUUUAUUUUUACGAGUUUAUAAUUUCGAAAACAAUAUUUUUUUUAUUGUUCUUUGCAAGGUUAUGAAUGUAAAAGUUAGAUUCGUGCAUUUUUCGUUUCACAACACGAUAUCGUAUCAAAAAUCAGUAACACUUGAAUUUACGUCAAAGGCGGCGUAGACAGUAAUACAUCUAGCAGCUUGACUAUGAAAUGAUUUUAUUAACGUAUUAUAAAAACCAGACUCUAAAUGCGACCAGAGGGACAACAUGGUACAAGGGCAUCCAUGUACAAGGAGAAUGUAUGAGAUUCAAAUUCGAGACUUAAAUAAAUAUUGUGACAAUAUCUAGCAAUGACAUUGGACAGUCAUCUUUCGUUCGCGUGUAUGGUUGCUGCUGUAUCGUUGUCGUAGAUCAACUUGAUCAUGCCAGGUAGCUAUAUGUGUCCUUUUGACCCUCUGUGCGCUCCAGAUAUUCUUUCUCAAUUAAAAUAUCUAUACAUUUCUGAAAGAGUAGAAUCAUCUUAUAUUAAGGUUAUAUCUUUUUCAUUUUAAUUUAUUUUCUCAAAUAUUUCUAUUCAUCGAUAUCAUGUUAUGAUAAAUCAAUAUAAGAAAAAAUACACGUUUACAUAUGUUAAAAAAUUAUUCGCAUAUAUUUAUAUAUGUGAAAAUGUCUUAAAAAACAAUGUCGUUUAUACGUACCUUAAUAACAUGUACUCUUGGUUUGAACCUAGAGCUUAAUUGAUUCAA